GCAAACACAACAAGCGGCUCUUUCAAUGCCCAGAAGAGAAUCUCACUAGUUUGCCUCAAACGCUGGUUCAAAUGAUUUCGCCGGGUUUGCUGCGCGAUUCAACACCACGGGAAAUGCUAUUUUCCUGCCACAACAACAAUUUCACCCCCGAGAUACCAACUAAGCAUCAAACUAAUUACCCAAAAAUCACUCAUUCUGCCUCUCCGGACAAUUCCAGAGGAGCCACCACAUCGCUGGACUCACGAUAUUGUGACGUGUGUGUUUGCAAGUGCAGAAAAGUAUGAACGAGACAGAGUGAGAAAAGACGCGAUUGUGUUUUCUUCAAAAAAAUAAAAAUAAAAAAAAGGAUUUAUCAGGAUUUCUACGUGAUAACUUCAGCAAUCCUCAAACAACACCCAAAAUUCUUCCGCCACUCAUUAGUGGUGGCACUUGUAUGGUGAAAAAGUGUUCGAAUGUGUUGGAAGAAAAUGAAUUUUCUACUAUAAGAAAAUCCAAAAGAGUUUUUGGAGAGAUUUUUGUGUAAGUCAAGUUUCAGUGGAAAGUGCAGAAAAAUUCUGCAGAAAUAAAGGAAAAGAAAAAACGCGGUAAUUCACAAACAAUUGUGAAAAGGAUCGUAAAGUAUCCUGUAUGGUGUGACGUAUCUCAGUGAUAACACUUAAGUGAAAGACAAAAAGUGCAACUGUAAGCAUUUAAUCAACGUACACCGUAUUCUUGUGACAAGAGUUUGAAAAUCAGAUAAAUCUGAGCAACUGAAAGUGAUUAAAGGUUCCUGCUAAAGAGAUAUACAUUAAAUUACCAAAAAAAACAGGCUCAAGACUCGGCAAGUGUGUGUGAAAUUUUCUAAAACCCCUGUAAAAUGGCCGACGACAAUGGUUAGACAAGAAGAAUUAUCGUAAGUGUUUAAUUAUUAUCAUAUAUAUCCACUUUUUUGUUAUAUUAGUUCCUAAAAUCAUAAACAGAAAUCCUUAAAUGCCUUACUCAUUGAUCAAAACAUCAGUCAAGAUCGAGAAUGCGCUGAAGUAUAAAGCCAAGUUAGAUAAAAACGAAAAAGCAUAAGAAACUUUCAUUUCUAACUGUUACAUUUGUAAAGAAAUGUAAUAAAUUAAAGUGAAAGAGAAAAUUAUGAAUUACCUUAAAGUUACGUUCUACAAGUAUACAGGCAUAUAUAUGCACAUCUUUUGCCUGUAUUAAAGUACAAAAAAAUCCGCUAUAAGCUAGUUUAAAAAAAAAUACGCAAAGCAAAUUUGCAAAAUAAAAAAAGAUCAGGAAGUAUCUAAAAGUGUUCCUGUGGAACUUUUCGCGCACCCACGAAGUACUUCUGGUGUCCAGCCCGGAAAGAAAGAAUUUCAACAAAUACUGAUUUUGUGUCACUUCCGUGGAUGACAUCGCUUUUUCUCCUUCUUUUUUUUCUGAACUUUUUGAUCAUCAGAGCAUUGGCCUCGUGUGACCCCUUCGAGAGCGCGCCUUUUGCGUUCUUGCUGUGACUCCUCUUUUUUUUCGAAUAAGAAGCACCAAGACAAUAAAGUGUAAGAAGAAAAAAAGUCGAGAAGAAUCUAAGAGCACGAUCGUGAACCUACCAUGUUUUCUCCCUCGCAAGUGCCAUCAAUUGACCUCACAGCACUUCUCGAGGUCAUCUCAGGUAAUUUACGGAAUCUUCUUUGUUCAAUUAGUUGCAAUUGCAUUAUAGUCCCCCAGAAUAAACAUGUUGAACAUUGCAAGCAUCAUGUAAAAUUUCUUCUUAAAGAUUAUGGUACAUUUUAGGGUAUUUCUACGUUGAAUUAUUAAAAAGUAAUAAGUUUCAAUUUUUUCCAAAUCACAUGAAUUGCUUUUUAUACCACUUCAUAAAGAAGUUAACUUAUCGUGAAUGGAAACAUUUGAUUAUCAUUCAAAAUAGAUCGAAUCAGAUGAUUUUUGCGUUGAGCGCAAAGCGAAAGAACGCGUACAGCAAAGGUGAAAGAACUCUGAAAAAAUGACAACACAUUGUGAAAUGUACCGAUAAGAAAAUCGAGGUUUAAUGUCUUCAAGUUUAAUCGUUUCAAGGGUUAAGGUGGAAGAUGUAUCACUCUUCUUACAAAACACAUUACUCAUUUCAACAGGGAGUGCAAUAACUUCAGAGAGAAAUGGGGAAAGAUUUUCAAAGGAGAAAAUUGAAUGUAAUUUUGGGGGUAUUCAUGAAUCCUUUUAUGAUCCGAAAGGAAUGUGAAAGUAACAAAAGAACUUUGCAGAUUGGUCGACCAUAUAAGAUUUCUGUAUUAAAACUUGGCUUAGACUUUGAUGUUUCGAAAAAUUUUGCACUACUAAAUAAGGGAAAGCGCACUAUCUACGGACAACUCACUUUUUUAUGUUCCUUAUAGAUUUUGUUCAUAGCUCUUUUCUGGAAAUUUGAAGCAUUGAACUAGCUAUUAAUGGACCUAAUUAAUAAAAAAAGAAACAAGCAAAAGAAUUAUUCGAAGCUUGAAUCGUCCGAAUGUAGCGCGCUUGCCCCUAUUAUUUCUUGGGAAGAGCAUACAGUUUCCAUAUUUACUCACAAAAAAAUCCUCUCCAUGGUUUUUCGUUAAUUUGUUAUUUUGAAAACAGAAAAUACAGGAGGUUAAUGGCAUUACAUGGAUAAAAUCUGUUCCUAAAUCUAAAAAAGAAGAAA
Phlebotomus papatasi is the source of this 2641-nucleotide long non-coding RNA. RefSeq lists it as uncharacterized. The record is from RefSeq and is a predicted model, not a curated record. NCBI's taxonomy places the organism in Eukaryota, Metazoa, Arthropoda, Insecta, Diptera, Psychodidae. The transcript has 2 exons.